This 688-nucleotide ribosomal RNA is filed under the name uncultured bacterium. RNAcentral's name for it is "bacterial SSU rRNA". It matches the Rfam family "Bacterial small subunit ribosomal RNA", at positions 8 to 743 of the family's 1533-position model. The record is from RNAcentral.
AGAGUUUGAUCCUGGCUCAGAACGAACGCUGGCGGCAUGCCUAACACAUGCAAGUCGAACGAACCCUUCGGGGUUAGUGGCGCACGGGUGCGUAACGCGUGGGAAUCUGCCCUUUGGUUCGGAGUAACAGUUAGAAAUGACUGCUAAUACCGGAUGAUGACUUCGGUCCAAAGAUUUAUCGCCAGAGGAUGAGCCCGCGUAGGAUUAGGUAGUUGGUGGGGUAAAGGCCUACCAAGCCGACGAUCCUUAGCUGGUCUGAGAGGAUGAUCAGCCACACUGGGACUGAGACACGGCCCAGACUCCUACGGGAGGCAGCAGUGGGGAAUAUUGGACAAUGGGGGAAACCCUGAUCCAGCAAUGCCGCGUGAGUGAUGAAGGCCUUAGGGUCGUAAAGCUCUUUUACCCGGGAUGAUAAUGACAGUACCGGGAGAAUAAGCUCCGGCUAACUCCGUGCCAGCAGCCGCGGUAAUACGGAGGGAGCUAGCGUUGUUCGGAAUUACUGGGCGUAAAGCGCACGUAGGCGGUUAUUCAAGUCAGAGGUGAAGCCCGGGGCUCAACCCCGGAACUGCCUUUGAAACUAGAUGACUAGAAUCUUGGAGAGGUCAGUGGAAUUCCGAGUGUAGAGGUGAAAUUCGUAGAUAUUCGGAAGAACACCAGUGGCGAAGGCGACUGACUGGACAAGUAUUGA